This 749-nucleotide ribosomal RNA is filed under the name Macrococcoides caseolyticum. RNAcentral describes it as "bacterial SSU rRNA". It matches the Rfam family "Bacterial small subunit ribosomal RNA", at positions 98 to 834 of the family's 1533-position model. The record is from RNAcentral. Lineage: Bacteria; Bacillati; Bacillota; Bacilli; Caryophanales; Staphylococcaceae.
GCGGACGGGUGAGUAACACGUGGGUAACCUACCUAUAAGACUGGGAUAACUUCGGGAAACCGGAGCUAAUACCGGAUAAUAUUUAGCUUCGCAUGAAGCAAUAGUGAAAGACGGUUCUGCUGUCACUUAUAGAUGGACCUGCGGUGUAUUAGCUAGUUGGUGAGGUAACGGCUCACCAAGGCAACGAUACAUAGCCGACCUGAGAGGGUGAUCGGCCACACUGGGACUGAGACACGGCCCAGACUCCUACGGGAGGCAGCAGUAGGGAAUCUUCCGCAAUGGACGAAAGUCUGACGGAGCAACGCCGCGUGAGUGAAGAAGGUUUUCGGAUCGUAAAACUCUGUUGUAAGGGAAGAACAAGUACGUUAGUAACUGAACGUACCUUGACGGUACCUUACCAGAAAGCCACGGCUAACUACGUGCCAGCAGCCGCGGUAAUACGUAGGUGGCAAGCGUUAUCCGGAAUUAUUGGGCGUAAAGCGCGCGUAGGCGGUCUCUUAAGUCUGAUGUGAAAGCCCCCGGCUCAACCGGGGAGGGUCAUUGGAAACUGGGAGACUUGAGUACAGAAGAGGAGAGUGGAAUUCCAUGUGUAGCGGUGAAAUGCGCAGAGAUAUGGAGGAACACCAGUGGCGAAGGCGGCUCUCUGGUCUGUAACUGACGCUGAGGUGCGAAAGCGUGGGGAUCAAACAGGAUUAGAUACCCUGGUAGUCCACGCCGUAAACGAUGAGUGCUAAGUGUUGGGGGGUUUC